RNAcentral lists this ribosomal RNA (377 nucleotides) under uncultured bacterium. RNAcentral's name for it is "partial 16S ribosomal RNA". It matches the Rfam family "Bacterial small subunit ribosomal RNA", at positions 338 to 732 of the family's 1533-position model. The record is from RNAcentral.
CCUACGGGUGGCAGCAGUGAGGAAUAUUGGUCAAUGGGCGAAACCCUGAACCAGCCACGCCGCGUGAGUGAGGAAGUAUCUCGGUAUGUUAAACCCUUUCUGCCGGGGAGCAAAUGACGGUACCUGACCACGGAGCCCCGGCUAACUACGUAGCACCAGCCGCAGUACUAAGGAGGGGGCAAGCGUAAUCCGGAGUUGCUGGGUGUAAAGGGAGCGUAGACGGGUAUGUAGGUCUGGAGUGAAAGCCUGGGGCCCAAACCCCGUACUGCCGUGGAAACUGGGUAACUGGAGUAAGCGAGGGGUAGGCGGAAUUCGUGGUGUAGCGGUGAAAUGCGUAGAUAUCAGGAGGAACCCCGGCGGCGAAGGCAGCAUGCUGG